UUGAAUAUUACAACCCCACAAGAAAUUCGGAGCGCCCUUUUCUUGUGUUGAGCCACUGGUUUUAUUUGGCCAUGCUUGUUUCUUGCCAUUUCUAAAGGGCUAGCUUAGCUGCUUACAUUUCUUCUGUUUUGCUUUUGCUUCAUUGUUUUUCAUUACAUGUUAAAAAGGGUUUUGUGGGGUUGAUUUGUUUACCAAUCUUUAUUUUGGCUUUGGACCCAUUUUGAUACCCCAAAUCUCUUCUUUAAUCCCUCUUUCUUUUCUUUAAUACAUAUAUGUGUUAUGUGUUUGUGUGUGUACCACUUGAUCCUCAUUUUCUCCUCCACUGUUCCAUCAUUCUAAUUUCUGGCUUUGAUCAGAUUGAGGGCUCACUUGCAAUUAAUCAACUGCAUGGAGACACACACACACACACACGCGCGCAUAUACGUAUAUAUGCCUGGCUCCCUGUAUGCCAUCUGCAGAGCUCACCGGAAAAAUCGAUGGCCCUCCGUGGAUGGCGUAUGAGGAGCCAAGCAUAUCCACACAUCGUAUAUAUGUGUUUAAUUUUCUUAAUUUCUUACAACCUCAAUUUCUCCUAAAUUAAUUUUUCUUGAUCGAAUUGCCAGAGAUGAGGGGUUUCACGUGGAACAAAGAGGGGCGCUGUUUCAAUUAUUCGCUGUGCUCAUCUUCCGAUAAGCAUCCACGCUCUGUAUAAACCGACAACAUGAAAGUUACAACCUAUCUAGCUAGAUACUACAUGCAACAAUGUAAUAUCAAGAUUGGAGGCAUGACGGUGAGGUCAAAAAAGGACAUAUAUUGGGGUUCUGGCAUCAAGAGAAGGGACCACCCCCACCCCUUCCUGGAGAUCUCCUGAAACCAAUUGGAUUUUGGGCUCUCUCUCUCUCUCUCUCUCCAUGAACAUGCAUGUGUGUGUGUAUACUUACACAGACACACACAGAGCCCAUCAGGAAACCAGUGUAGUAUGCAGUAUGGAGAACAUUCCCCCUGCAUAUAUCAGCUUUGUCUUAAAAGGAGGAAAAGAAAAAGGGAAAAGAAAAUUAUUGAAAAGAAAAAAGGAAAAAAGAGGAAGAAGAAGAAGAAAGGAAAUAGUAAGAGAGAAGAGCAUAUAUGAAUAUGAGUAUAUCACCUUUCUUUUUGCAUUGUUCAGACUGUACUUAAAAGCAGAUUCUAUUCUCCACCCUCUCAAAGAUUUAUAAAUAUAUAAUAUAAUACCUCAUCUUCUGACUCCACAACUUUAAAUUAAUUAAUUAGGUAAAUCAUUUAUACAUGUAUGUGCAUAUAUUGUAGUAAUAAAGAAUAAUUGAAGCUUGUCUUAUAUAUUUAUAAGUUGGAGUACUAGUGUUAGAAGUAUUUUAUGUUGUACAUUAUUAUUAGCUAGUAGGUAGUCCUUGAGAUUGGUACUAGGCUAGAAGGUGUAAGUUGUAAUGAUGUAUCCACAUGUACAUGUGUUGUUGUAGUACAAGACAUUCAUUAUUAACAUAUGUACCUAUUCUUGUGAAAGAAUUUGUAGCAUCAAC
Salvia miltiorrhiza (redroot sage) is the source of this 1514-nucleotide long non-coding RNA. RefSeq lists it as uncharacterized. Lineage: Eukaryota; Viridiplantae; Streptophyta; Magnoliopsida; Lamiales; Lamiaceae. The transcript has 4 exons. The record is from RefSeq and is a predicted model, not a curated record.